Non-coding RNA from Ameiurus melas (black bullhead), 82 nucleotides. The record is from the annotation of a GenBank genome assembly. Lineage: Eukaryota; Metazoa; Chordata; Actinopteri; Siluriformes; Ictaluridae.
UUAGUUGUGGCCAAGUGGUCAAGGCGAUGGACAUGAAAUCCAUUGGGGUCUCCAAGCGCAGGUUUGAAUCCUGCCAACUACG